This is a non-coding RNA of Cerioporus squamosus, 86 nucleotides long. NCBI's taxonomy places the organism in Eukaryota, Fungi, Basidiomycota, Agaricomycetes, Polyporales, Polyporaceae. The record is from the annotation of a GenBank genome assembly.
GGGCACGUGGUGUAGUUGGUUAUCACGCUCGCUUAGCAGUCUGCCUUAGUUGCGAGAGGGGUCCGGUUCGAUCCCGGACGUGUCCA